AGUGCUGUGAACUUUACCCCACGGCACGGUAGUUGCUUUUGUACGUUCGGAUCGAUAGUCGCUUUUUGGCGCUGAAUUGGACGGACGCUAGAUUUAGCGAGAUUUCCAACAGGGGAUGGCACUUGAACACCAGUUACCAGAUCUGGGUUAUAUAUCUCUAGCUACUCCUAACGGUAAAUAGCUAGAGUUUGUGAUAGUUAUGCUCCUUCAAAAGCUUAGCUAAAUGCAAUUAAUUUUAUAACACAAAUUUUUUUGAUAAUUAACUUGCGGCAAAGUAACAAAUUCAGUCAAAAUUUAUGUUUUUUGUUUAAACAAACUGUCCCUUGAUGUUCGUUUCUGCAUACAAGUUUAAGGUUACAAAUUUAUAACAAUAAAAAAUAGAACAGUGACAAUAAAA
Drosophila sechellia is the source of this 397-nucleotide long non-coding RNA. RefSeq lists it as uncharacterized. The transcript is spliced from 2 exons. The record is from RefSeq and is a predicted model, not a curated record. NCBI's taxonomy places the organism in Eukaryota, Metazoa, Arthropoda, Insecta, Diptera, Drosophilidae.